AUACGGAGGAUCCGAGCGUUAUCCGGAUUUAUUGGGUUUAAAGGGUGCGCAGGCGGCCAUUUAAGUCAGCGGUUAAAUCGUGGGGCUCAACCCCAUUCUGCCGUUGAUACUGGGUGGCUUGAUUGCGGUCGAGGUUGGCGGAAUUCGUUGUGUAGCGGUGAAAUGCAUAGAUAUGACGAAGAACACCGAUUGCGUAGGCAGCUGACCAGACCGCAAAUGACGCUCAUGCACGAAGGUGCGGGGAUCGAACAGGAUUAGAUACCCUGGUAGUCCGCACAGUAAACGAUGAAUACUUGUUUUCGGCGAUAUAAUGUCGGAGGCAAAGCGAAAGCGAUAAGUAUUCCACCUGGGGAGUACGCCGGCAACGGUGAAACUUAAAGGAAUUGACGGGG
This 392-nucleotide ribosomal RNA is filed under the name uncultured bacterium. RNAcentral's name for it is "partial 16S ribosomal RNA". It matches the Rfam family "Bacterial small subunit ribosomal RNA", at positions 523 to 918 of the family's 1533-position model. The record is from RNAcentral.